RNAcentral lists this ribosomal RNA (496 nucleotides) under uncultured bacterium. Its description in RNAcentral is "partial 16S ribosomal RNA". It matches the Rfam family "Bacterial small subunit ribosomal RNA", at positions 28 to 506 of the family's 1533-position model. The record is from RNAcentral.
GAUGAACGCUGGCGGCGUGCCUAAUACAUGCAAGUCGAGCGAACGGACGAGAAGCUUGCUUCUCUGAUGUUAGCGGCGGACGGGUGAGUAACACGUGGAUAACCUUCCUAUAAGACUGGGAUAACUUCGGGAAACCGGGGCUAAUACCGGAUGAUAUUUUGAACCGCAUGGUUCAAAAGUGAAAGACGGUCUUGCUGUCACUUAUAGAUGGAUCCGCGCUGCAUUAGCUAGUUGGUAAGGUAACGGCUUACCAAGGCAACGAUGCAUAGCCGACCUGAGAGGGUGAUCGGCCACACUGGAACUGAGACACGGUCCAGACUCCUACGGGAGGCAGCAGUAGGGAAUCUUCCGCAAUGGGCGAAAGCCUGACGGAGCAACGCCGCGUGAGUGAUGAAGGUCUUCGGAUCGUAAAACUCUGUUAUUAGGGAAGAACAUAUGUGUAAGUAACUGUGCACAUCUUGACGGUACCUAAUCAGAAAGCCACGGCUAACUACGU